AAUGGGCGCAAGCCUGAUCCAGCCAUGCCGCGUGAGUGAUGAAGGCCCUAGGGUCGUAAAGCUCUUUCGCCAGGGAUGAUAAUGACAGUACCUGGUAAGGAAACCCCGGCUAACUCCGUGCCAGCAGCCGCGGUAAUACGGAGGGGGUUAGCGUUGUUCGGAAUUACUGGGCGUAAAGCGCGCGUAGGCGGAUUAGUCAGUUAGAGGUGAAAUCCCGGGGCUCAACCCCGGAACUGCCUUUAAUACUGCUAGUCUUGAGUUCGAGAGAGGUGAGUGGAAUUCCGAGUGUAGAGGUGAAAUUCGUAGAUAUUCGGAGGAACACCAGUGGCGAAGGCGGCUCACUGGCUCGAUACUGACGCUGAGGUGCGAAAGUGUGGGGAGCAAACAGGAUU
This 392-nucleotide ribosomal RNA is filed under the name uncultured Gammaproteobacteria bacterium. Its description in RNAcentral is "bacterial SSU rRNA". It matches the Rfam family "Bacterial small subunit ribosomal RNA", at positions 370 to 779 of the family's 1533-position model. The record is from RNAcentral. Lineage: Bacteria; Pseudomonadati; Pseudomonadota; Gammaproteobacteria.